UACGUAGGGUGCAAGCGUUAAUCGGAAUUACUGGGCGUAAAGCGUGCGCAGGCGGUUGUGCAAGACAGAUGUGAAAUCCCCGGGCUCAACCUGGGAAUUGCAUUUGUGACUGCACGGCUAGAGUGUGUCAGAGGGGGGUAGAAUUCCACGUGUAGCAGUGAAAUGCGUAGAGAUGUGGAGGAAUACCGAUGGCGAAGGCAGCCCCCUGGGAUAACACUGACGCUCAUGCACGAAGCGUGGGGAGCAAACAGGA
Molecule: ribosomal RNA, 253 nt
Filed under: uncultured bacterium
Lineage: Bacteria
Description: partial 16S ribosomal RNA
Rfam family: Bacterial small subunit ribosomal RNA
Source: RNAcentral